GGACUACUCGGGUUUCUAAUCCCUUUCGCUCCCCUAGCUGUCGUUCCUCAGUGUCAUAUAUUGGCUAGUAUCCUGCCUUCGCCCUUGGAGUUCCUGAUGAUAUCAACGUAUUUCACUACUACACCAUCAGUUCCAGAUACCCCGCCAAAAAUCAAGACUUACAGUAUUAUCUCCCUUCCCGAGGUUGAGCCUCGGUAUUUGAAAAAUAACUUAUAAACCCACCUACGAAACGCUUUACGCCCAAUAAAUCCGGAUAACGCUUGUGACCUCUGUAUUACCGCGGCGGCUGGCAC
RNAcentral lists this ribosomal RNA (293 nucleotides) under uncultured bacterium. RNAcentral's name for it is "partial 16S ribosomal RNA". The record is from RNAcentral.